CCCCUCAAGGCAGCACUGACCCCACACACGCAGCAGCCAGGAGGAGCAGGCCGGACAGAAUUCCCAAGAGACUCUCCUACUUUGAUGGCUGUGAUGCGGAGAGGCUGAAGGUGCAGUGCAGGGCUGUGGCGGUGCCCUCGGAGUGGAUUCUGUCCGGGCAGGCGGCGCACCCCAGGCCACACCCAAAGAACGUCAGGUAUUUGGAGGAGUACAAGUUGAAGGAACGGCGUGCUGACGGAACCAUUGUAGCCGUGCCUUGCUCCAUGCCAGACACCACCAACACCACCACAGGGAAGAAGAAGAAAAAGAAAAGUGUGGUGUGUGUGUCUCAGGCUGGGAAGGUAGACGCCACAUUACCACACCAGGAGGAAACACACACUGGCCUUCAGAACGGUGGUGUCAGUGAGGGUUCAGGGACAAAGAGAAGGAGAGGUGAGGUGUGUGUGUCUCAGGCUGGGAAUGGAGACGCCGCAUUACCACACCAGGAGGAAUCACUCAAUGGCCUUCAGAAUGGUGGUGUUGGUGAGGGUUUAAGUACAAAGAGAAGAAGAGGUGAGGUGUGUGUAUCUCAGGCUGGGGAGGAAGAGGAAGGAACUGUACAGGAGAAGCAGGAGGAAGCACUUAAUGGCCUCACGAAUGGUGGUUCUGGCUCAAAUACUGACAUGAUUAAACAUAGGAAGCAAACCCGAAGGAGAGGGAAGAAGAAGAAGAUGAAGGGAGGUGAUGAAGUGGCUGUACCUUAGAGGAAGAACACGGACAGAUAGAACAUGAAAAAGCACUAGUUACCCCUCACAGUGGCAGCGUUGGCUUAAGUACCGACAUUAGGAAACAGAGGAAGCAAACCCAAAAGAAAGGAAAGAAGAAGUUGAAGGGAGGCGAUGAAGUGGCCGUACCUUAGAGGAAGAACAAGGAUGGAUAGAAAAUGAAGGAAGAAGAAAACACUAGUUACCCCUCACGAUGACAGCAUUAGUGAAAGGAAGAGAUAGAAAGUGAAACAGAGGGAGUUGUGUGGCUUGUGUGUGUUGAACUUAAGAAGGAAGACACUGCAGGGUUUGAACAAGGAGAAACACUUACUUGGUGGUGACUGAAUGGUUGGCGCCUGGAUGCCAUGAACCUAAGGACCCAGGUUCGAAUCCCGCCGCAAGACACUGACAUUUCUCAACCAUAGGCGAGUGGUGGAAGGUUACCCACAUAUUGCCCAGGCCUUCAAUCAACCCUAAUUUCAGCGACUUUGGUCAGGAGGAGCACCGGGGGCAGCAUAGGCCAAGCAAGAGCCAUACAUCACAGCAGCCACUAUAAAUUAAAUUCACCUGUGCCAUGAACGGACUGGGGUCUUCCAAGAGGCCCCUCGAGAGAGCCUACUGGUGCUAUUGGCGGAGGAGAAGGAAGAGGAAAAACGAAAAGAGGAAGAAUUUUGUGGUACUGGUGAAGGAGAAGGAGGAAGAGGAAGAAAGGAAAGAAAAAAAUUGCAGCUACAAGGGAAGAGAAAACACAGAAAAAGAGACAAAUCAAGAGACUGAAGGAAAGGGAAUGGAGAGUUACAACAAGAAGAAGCACUUACUAGCCCUCAGAAUGGUGGCACUGGUGAAGGAGAAGAAGAAGAGGAAGAAAGGAAAGAAAACGAAAUCUGUGCCUUGUGAUUUUGGGCUGUGAAGAAGCUGAAGGAAGGCAAAGUAAUGGAGGGAAGAGAACGGACAGUCAAUUACAACAAGAAAAAGCACUUACUAAUCAACAGAACGGUGGCACUGGUGAAGGAGAAGAAGGAAGAAGAGGAAAAAAGGAAAGAGAAAGAUAUCUGCAGCUACAAGGGAAGAGAGAAAACACAGAAAAAGACAAAUGAAGAGACUGAAGGAAAGGGAAUGGACAGUUAUGACAAGAAGAAGCACUUACUAGUCUUUAUAAUGGUAGCACUGGUGAAGGAGAAGAAGAAAGAAGAGGAAGAAAGAAAGGAAAAAGAAAUCUGUGCCUUGUGAUUUUAGGUUGUGACAGUUACAAUAGGAAUUACACAGACCUUCACAGUGUUGGCAUGGGCUCAGAUUCAGACACACAAGCACUAGUGGAAACAAUCGCCUUCACCAUUACUUUUUCCUGUCUCUCCACUCUUACAAACACUUCCUCCUCCCUCUCCCUCUCCCUCACAGCCAAACAGUUUCAUGGAGCCAUCUGGUCCCAUAAAGCACUAGUGGAAACAAUCACCUUCACCAUUACUUUUUCCUUCCUCUCCACUCUUACAAACACUUCCUCCUCCCUCUCUCCCUCUCCCUCCCUCCCAGCCAAACACUUUAUGGAGCCAUCUGGUCCCAUAAAGCACUAGUGGAAACAAACGCCUUCACCAUUACUUUUUCCUUCCUUUCCACUCUUACAAACACUUCCUCCUCCCUCUCUCCCUCUCCCUCCCUCCCUCCCAGCCAAACACUUUCAUGGAGCCAUCUGGUCUGAUAAAGCACAAGUAUUUUUAGAAUGGCAAAAACAUGUAUAAUGAGCUCACAGCGGAAGACGAAACAGUGCACGCGACCUUUUGUAUACUCGAACUUUUGUCGCGGUGGAAAACAAACAUGAUAUACAGACAGACAGACAACAUUGAAGGGAGGCGAUGAAAUGGCCGUCCCUUCAGCAUGACCAGGGUGGAAGGCAGUGUGAGAGGUGAAGAAGGAAGGAGAAAGAGAACAUCCCAUCACACUGUCCUUCACAACACUGGUGCUUAGAAAAGAGAAAGAAGAAAAAUAAAAUAAGAAAGAAAGGUGUAGCUCUCAGGAAUGUUAGUUAGGCUGACACUUGCAACAGAGAAAACACUUGAGUGGUGGCGUGGACUCAAGUUCUGACUCACACAAAGAACAGCUGAAACAAAUGUGAAAUAAUGUGUGUGUGUGUGUGUGUGUGUGUGUGUGUGUGUGUGUGUGUGUGUGUGUGUGUGUGUGUCUAUUUACCUAGUUGUAGUUUUACAGGGCUUACGCUCGUGUGGUCCCGUCGCCAUAUCUGUAUUUGUCCAACUUUUCCUAAAAGUUUUGCACACUCUUCGCUGAUACUACAUCUUCACUUAGACUGUUCCAAACCUCUAUAUUUCUUUGCGGGAAGCUAUAUUUCUUUAUGUCUCUCAAGCAUCUUCCCUUCCUCAAUUUUUUACUAUGUCCUCUUGUGUUCCUGUUGUUUAUUCCUUCUCUUAGUAGUAACUCCUCAUUAUCUACUUCUUCCAUUUUAAUCAAUAAUUUAUAAAUUUGUAUUAGGUCUCCCCUUUCUCUUCUUUGUUCAAGUGUUGGUAGGUCCAUUUCCUUUAACCCGUAAAGGCCGAUAGGUCCCAUAUGGGACUGCGUCACCGCAGGCCGAUAGGUCCCUUAUGGGACAGCUACUUUACACGUGUAUCAAAACUGCGCUAUCAUUGGUAACGCUGCUAAUUUGGCUUGAGGAGUAGGCUUAUAUCUACGACUACCCCACUGUCACAGAGGGUCCAAAAACAAACAAACAGGCCCAUAAUAGACCGGGAAAAGGCCCUGGGCGCACAACGGACCGAGUCUGACACCUCAGCAGUCCAGCCCAGCUCGGAACGAGGGUUGCACGCGCCAACACAAUCUCUGACUACCGGCGAUUAUUCUGAAGCAAUCAGGGAGAGCUAAGCAAAAAUAUUUCACAUGCUGAUGUAUAUAUGUGUAUACUAACAGCUAAAAUUGCUUCCAGGUCAUUCUGCAAGAGUUGAUUUUAAGACGAUUAAUGCGGCUGUGGGGGGGUAGACGCAGGGGGUAUCGUCGGCCUUUACGGGUUAAUCUUUCUUCAUAUGUCAAUCCCUCCAGCUCUGGAACCAUUUUUGUUGUCAGACCACACCGCCUCUGCAUAUUCCCAUUUUGGUCUGAUCAUAGUGGUUAUUAACUUUUUCAUCAUAUCCUUAUCCAUGUAGUGGAAUGCUAAUCCUAUAUUUCUCACCAUUUUAGACGUAUCGCCGAAUAUCAGAUUAACAUGACUCUCAGGCUGUUGAUUAUCUUGUAUUGCCACUCCCAUAUCUCUCUCUUCUUGAACUUUCCUUAAUAUUUAUAUGUCCAUUUUGGUCUUCCUUCAUUCUUUCCCAUUUCCAUAACAUGACAUUUCUUCACAUUGAAUUCCAUCUCCCAUUUCAUACUCCAUUCCCAAAUCUUUUUCAGGUCUUCUUGCAGAAUUUCACAGUCUUUACUGUUUCUUAUAUGUCUUAGCAGUUUUGCAUUGUCUGCAAACAGGCUCAUAUAACUGUUUACUCCCUCUGGCAUGUCAUUGACAUAUACUAGGAAAAGUAUUGGUGCCAAUACCGAUCCCUGAGGCACUCCACUCCACAAUUCUCCAUUCCGAUCUCAUGUCCUUUACCACUGUGUGUGUGUGUGUGUGUGUGUGUGUGUGUGUGUGUGUGUGUGUGUGUGUGUGUGUGUUUACCUAUUUGUAGUAUACAGGGCCUGAGCUCAAGCUCGGUCAGUCCUGUCUCCCAAUUUAUAUUUGUCCAGCUUUUCCGUCAUUAUAUGGACACUACCCGUUCAACAAUGUAUUUGCUAAGUCCAUUCCCUGUAUCCACACUCCUGUAUGGAAAACUGAAUUUCUGUGUCUUUUAAACAAGUCCCCUUUCUCAAUUUCUUACUCUGUCCUCUUAGUUGUCUCCUCCCUUCCAUAUCAAUUAAAUAAUUUCUAUCUAACACAUGCCACUCGUAUUCUCUCACAUAAAAGCUACUUCUCGUCCCUUCCCCAUUUUCAUACAAGACCAACAUAACGGUCAUAUUCUGCAACAUUUCAGCGCCCAAGCACACACACUUGUCAAGGCUUUCGUUUGAGUUGUGGGAGGCAUUUCCAGGGGUAGUUUCAUGGCCCUGGUGGUAGUUUGACCCUUAUUCUGUAACAAGAACUUAAAAUACCACCCUUUAGAGCCUGACUGAUCUCCUUUUCAGCCUUUGGGAAUAGUUGUUGUGAGGGGCGGAAGUGUUUGAGAAUACCAACCUUCUUAGUAUCUCCAUCUCUCCAAUGCUUUCAUCUCCUUUAUGACAAUCUUCUCACUUAAAAACUAAUUCUUGUUCUCCAUUUCCCUAGAAGACUUCGUGUAUCUCCAAUGCUUUUGAUCUCCAUGUAACAAAAUUCUCCAUCUCUUUGUUCCUUUCCUCUCUUCCUCCUUGAGUAACCUUUGGGGUUCUCUUUUAAAUUAAUGGUUGAAAACUGGACUCGGAACUCGGACCCUCAGAGCUCAGCAUUCACCACUUCCAGCCAUUGUGUAAUAUAGUGAUAGUUGUAGAAGUAGUAAUAGUAUCAGGUCCUCUGCAUGCUUCUGAUAUAUUCCAACUUUCUUCUUUUCUCUUAUUUUUAUAUCAUAUUUCUCUCUCCUCUAUGCCGCUCCAUUCAAAUAAGACUUUCUUUAUCUCCAUAUUUAUUCAGUUAACUUACAUUGUUGAGAGAGAGAGAGAGAGAGAGAGAGAGAGAGAGAGAGAGAGAGAGAGAGAGAGAGAGAGAGAGAGAGAGAGAGAGAGAGAGAGAGAGAGAGAGAGAAUUAUUUAUGUGUCGGGGGUCAUGUGUCUGUGGGGUUUGCAAACAUCCUGUGGGGUGACAUCCUGUGGGACCUGUGGCUGAGAGAGAGAGAGAGAGAGAGAGAGAGAGAGAGAGAGAGAGAGAGAGAGAGAGAGAGAGAGAGAGAGAGAGAGAGA
Eriocheir sinensis (Chinese mitten crab) is the source of this 5639-nucleotide long non-coding RNA. RefSeq lists it as uncharacterized. Lineage: Eukaryota; Metazoa; Arthropoda; Malacostraca; Decapoda; Varunidae. The record is from RefSeq and is a predicted model, not a curated record. The transcript has 3 exons.